Molecule: ribosomal RNA, 477 nt
Filed under: Microhyla orientalis
Lineage: Eukaryota; Metazoa; Chordata; Amphibia; Anura; Microhylidae
Description: partial large subunit ribosomal RNA
Rfam family: Bacterial large subunit ribosomal RNA (bases 163-477)
Source: RNAcentral
CUAAAAACUUAGCUUUAACUUCUUUAUAAUACUCAACAUACCUCUUAAUAAACCAAUAAAACAUUUUCUAUGUUUAGUAAAGGCGAUCAAAAAAUACCUAAAAGCUAUAAAAUUAGUACCGCAAGGGAACAGUGAAAUAUUAAUGAAAAACCUCAAGCACACAAAAGCAGAGUUAUAAUCUUGUACCUUUUGCAUCAUGGUCUAACUAGUCUAAUCAAGCAAAAAGAACUUUAAGUCUGACCCCCCGAAACUAGGUGAGCUACUUAGAAACAGCCUCAUGGGCCAACCCGUCUCUGUUGCAAAAGAGUGGGAAGAUUUUUAAGUAGAGGUGAUAAACCUACCGAACCUAGAGAUAGCUGGUUAUUCAGGAAAAGGAUUUAAGUCCUACCUUAGGUUUUUCGUAUCAUAUAAUACCCCCCUAACCUUAAGAGCUAUUCAAAUAAGGUACAGCCUAUUUGAAAUAGGAUACAACCUCAC